Molecule: transfer RNA, 82 nt
Filed under: Danio rerio (zebrafish)
Lineage: Eukaryota; Metazoa; Chordata; Actinopteri; Cypriniformes; Danionidae
Description: tRNA-Leu (AAG) (tRNA-Leu-AAG-84-1)
Rfam family: tRNA
About the family: Transfer RNA (tRNA) molecules are approximately 80 nucleotides in length. Their secondary structure includes four short double-helical elements and three loops (D, anti-codon, and T loops).
Source: Rfam by way of RNAcentral
GGUAGUGUGGCCGAGCGGUCUAAGGCGCUGGAAUAAGGCUCCAGUCUCUUCGGGGGCGUGGGUUCGAAUCCCACCGAUGCCA